AACGAACGCUGGCGGCAGGCCUAACACAUGCAAGUCGAGCGGACCUUUCGGGGUCAGCGGCGGACGGGUGAGUAACGCGUGGGAAUAUGCCCUACUCUACGGAAUAGUCCUGGGAAACUGGGGGUAAUACCGUAUACGCCCCUUGGGGGAAAGAUUUAUCGGGGAAGGAUUAGCCCGCGUUGGAUUAGGUAGUUGGUGGGGUAAUGGCCUACCAAGCCGACGAUCCAUAGCUGGUUUGAGAGGAUGAUCAGCGACACUGGGACUGAGACACGGCCCAGACUCCUACGGGAGGCAGCAGUGGGGAAUCUUAGACAAUGGGGGCAACCCUGAUCGAGCCAUGCCGCGUGAGUGAUGAAGGCCUUAGGGUUGUAAAGCUCUUUCAGCUGGGAAGAUAAUGACGGUACCAGCAGAAGAAGCCCCGGCUAACUCCGUG
Molecule: ribosomal RNA, 433 nt
Filed under: uncultured bacterium
Lineage: Bacteria
Description: partial 16S ribosomal RNA
Rfam family: Bacterial small subunit ribosomal RNA
Source: RNAcentral